Molecule: ribosomal RNA, 468 nt
Filed under: uncultured bacterium
Lineage: Bacteria
Description: partial 16S ribosomal RNA
Rfam family: Bacterial small subunit ribosomal RNA
Source: RNAcentral
UCCUCCCUCUGGCGGCGUGCUUAACACAUGCAAGUCGAACGGAAAGGCCCUGCUUUUGUGGGGUGCUCGAGUGGCGAACGGGUGAGUAACACGUGAGUAACCUGCCCUUGACUUUGGGAUAACUUCAGGAAACUGGGGCUAAUACCGGAUAGGAGCUCCUGCUGCAUGGUGGGGGUUGGAAAGUUUCGGCGGUUGGGGAUGGACUCGCGGCUUAUCAGCUUGUUGGUGGGGUAGUGGCUUACCAAGGCUUUGACGGGUAGCCGGCCUGAGAGGGUGACCGGCCACAUUGGGACUGAGAUACGGCCCAGACUCCUACGGGAGGCAGCAGUGGGGAAUAUUGCACAAUGGGCGGAAGCCUGAUGCAGAAACGCCGCGUGCGGGAUGACGGCCUUCGGGUUGUAAACCGCUUUCGCCUGUGACGAAGCGUGAGUGACGGUAAUGGGUAAAGAAGCACCGGCUAACUACGUG